Molecule: ribosomal RNA, 1470 nt
Filed under: metagenome
Description: bacterial SSU rRNA
Rfam family: Bacterial small subunit ribosomal RNA
Source: RNAcentral
AGAGUUUGAUCAUGGCUCAGGACGAACGCUGGCGGCACGCUUAACACAUGCAAGUCGAACGAGAGAAGAGGAGCUUGCUUUUCUGAUCUAGUGGCGGACGGGUGAGUAACACGUGAGCAAUCUGCCUUUCAGAGGGGGAUACCGAUUGGAAACGAUCGUUAAUACCGCAUAACAUAAUUGAACCGCAUGAUUUGAUUAUCAAAGAUUUAUCGCUGAAAGAUGAGCUCGCGUCUGAUUAGCUAGUUGGUAAGGUAACGGCUUACCAAGGCGACGAUCAGUAGCCGGACUGAGAGGUUGAUCGGCCACAUUGGGACUGAGGCACGGCCCAGACUCCUACGGGAGGCAGCAGUGGGGAAUAUUGCACAAUGGAGGAAACUCUGAUGCAGCGAUGCCGCGUGAGGGAAGAAGGUUUUAGGAUUGUAAACCUCUGUCUUCAGGGACGAAAAAAGACGGUACCUGAGGAGGAAGCUCCGGCUAACUACGUGCCAGCAGCCGCGGUAAUACGUAGGGAGCGAGCGUUGUCCGGAAUUACUGGGUGUAAAGGGAGCGUAGGCGGGAUCGCAAGUCAGAUGUGAAAACUAUGGGCUUAACCCAUAAACUGCAUUUGAAACUGUGGUUCUUGAGUGAAGUAGAGGUAAGCGGAAUUCCUAGUGUAGCGGUGAAAUGCGUAGAUAUUAGGAGGAACAUCAGUGGCGAAGGCGGCUUACUGGGCUUUAACUGACGCUGAGGCUCGAAAGCGUGGGGAGCAAACAGGAUUAGAUACCCUGGUAGUCCACGCCGUAAACGAUGAUUACUAGGUGUGGGGGGACUGACCCCUUCCGUGCCGCAGCAAACGCAAUAAGUAAUCCACCUGGGGAGUACGACCGCAAGGUUGAAACUCAAAGGAAUUGACGGGGGCCCGCACAAGCAGUGGAGUAUGUGGAUUAAUUCGAAGCAACGCGAAGAACCUUACCAGGUCUUGACAUCGUAUGCAUAGCUCAGAGAUGAGUGAAAUCUCUUCGGAGACAUAUAGACAGGUGGUGCAUGGUUGUCGUCAGCUCGUGUCGUGAGAUGUUGGGUUAAGUCCCGCAACGAGCGCAACCCUUACUGUUAGUUGCUACGCAAGAGCACUCUAGCAGGACUGCCGUUGACAAAACGGAGGAAGGUGGGGAUGACGUCAAAUCAUCAUGCCCCUUAUGACCUGGGCCUCACACGUACUACAAUGGCUGUCAACAGAGGGAAGCAAAGCCGCGAGGUGGAGCGAACCCCUAAAAGCAGUCUUAGUUCGGAUUGUAGGCUGCAACCCGCCUACAUGAAGUCGGAAAUGCUAGUAAUCGCAGAUCAGCAUGCUGCGGUGAAUACGUUCCCGGGCCUUGUACACACCGCCCGUCACGCCAUGGGAGUCGGUAACACCCGAAGCCUGUAGUCUAACCGCAAGGAGGACGCAGUCGAAGGUGGGAUUGAUGACUGGGGUGAAGUCGUAACAAGGUA